AGGGCGUUUCAGUAGCACGCUCAAGACCCGAAGCGGAGUGAUCUAGCCAUGGGCAGGUUGAAGCGGAGGUAAGACUUCGUGGAGGACCGAACCCACCAGGGUUGAAAACCUGGGGGAUGACCUGUGGUUAGGGGUGAAAGGCCAAUCAAACUCCGUGAUAGCUGGUUCUCCCCGAAAUGCAUUUAGGUGCAGCGUCGUGUGUUUCUUGCCGGAGGUAGAGCACUGGAUAU
RNAcentral lists this non-coding RNA (230 nucleotides) under Streptomyces afghaniensis 772. RNAcentral's name for it is "Bacterial large subunit ribosomal RNA". It matches the Rfam family "Bacterial large subunit ribosomal RNA", at positions 689 to 917 of the family's 2925-position model. Lineage: Bacteria; Bacillati; Actinomycetota; Actinomycetes; Kitasatosporales; Streptomycetaceae. The record is from Rfam by way of RNAcentral.